Molecule: ribosomal RNA, 462 nt
Filed under: uncultured bacterium
Lineage: Bacteria
Description: partial 16S ribosomal RNA
Rfam family: Bacterial small subunit ribosomal RNA
Source: RNAcentral
GACGAACGCUGGCGGCGUGCUUAACACAUGCAAGUCGAACGGAAAGGCCCUUCGGGGUACUCGAGUGGCGAACGGGUGAGUAACACGUGGGUGAUCUGCCCUGCACUUUGGGAUAAGCCUGGGUAACUGGGUCUAAUACCGAAGAGGACCACGCGCUUCAUGGUGUGUGGUGGAAAGCUUUUGCGGUGUGGGAUGGGCCCGCGGCCUAUCAGCUCGUUGGUGGGGUAAUGGCCUACCAAGGCGACGACGGGUAGCCGGCCUGAGAGGGUGACCGGCCACACGGGGACUGAGGUACGGCCCAGACUCCUACGGGAGGCAGCAGGGGGGAAUAUUGCACAAUGGGCGCAAGCCUGAUGCAGCGACGCCGCGUGAGGGAUGACGGCCUUCGGGUUGUAAACCUCUUUCCAUAGGGACGAAGCGCAAGUGACGGUACCUAUAGAAGAAGCACCGGCCAACUACGUG